Caenorhabditis elegans is the source of this 21-nucleotide non-coding RNA. NCBI's taxonomy places the organism in Eukaryota, Metazoa, Nematoda, Chromadorea, Rhabditida, Rhabditidae. The record is from Ensembl.
UCAGCGAAAAAAACAAACAAA